CUGUGAAGUAGAGACAGACCCCUCAGCGACGAACCCUCCCUUGAAGUGCUACACUGAAACGUUAGAUGAGAAAAUCAGAGAAUCAACAGCUGAACUCACUGGUAAUCCUCAAUUUUCAAUCAGCGAAAAGAGCACCAUUGGCAUCGUCACCCCAGUACUGAUUCUUGGCGUUUGUGCAGCAGCACUGGCAGUGUAUUGUUUUCGACAGAACCGAAAUGGUCAAGCUGUUAGAAAAACCAAAUGGGCUCCUGACGCGGAAAACCUCACACCUGUUUGAAAAACAUCUACAAAUGAGAAAACCAGGCCUCUAUGCCAGCAGCCUGCUCCUCAGUAAUGAUGUACAGCGUUCAGCUGAAGAACGAGAGCUCAUUUUAUAUGAGACCUCAUGGUAGUUUUCACAAAUGUACCGUCGUCAAAUCCAUGUGUUCACUGAGGACUGUGAUUGCCACAGUCAUCCAGCUCCAGGCCUUCACGAGCAACAUGAGAAGCUCCCUGGAUCUCCCAUCCUCUCCUGGUGCUUUGCUGAGGAUAGCAGUCAUCACAAGAUAUGUGGCUGGCUCAGCAGCACGGGUUUAAACCAGCUGAAUUCUCUCAAUGGUUUUCAUGAUUGAAACUAUCCGUUCAUCUGGAGUUCUUCAGAGAAUUGUAUCUGUGCUCAGGAAGGAUGUGUUGAACCCUGAGGCAGAUGCUCUCUGCACAUCUUCCAUUUCAUAACACAAUAGCAUGCCCAUAGGUCUUUAUUUUUUUAAUUCCCAGGUGGUGUCUAGAUCCAAAAAAGCAUUUUGUACAGGUGACUGGUUUGUUGAGUUAGAGGGGUUUGGCCUU
Molecule: long non-coding RNA, 825 nt
Organism: Gymnogyps californianus (California condor)
Lineage: Eukaryota; Metazoa; Chordata; Aves; Accipitriformes; Cathartidae
Exons: 3
Source: RefSeq, a predicted model, not a curated record